Molecule: long non-coding RNA, 809 nt
Filed under: Homo sapiens (human)
Lineage: Eukaryota; Metazoa; Chordata; Mammalia; Primates; Hominidae
Description: long non-coding RNA NONHSAT172014.1
Source: RNAcentral
UUAUGAAAAUUACCAUGCCUUAUAGAAAAUAGAAGUGAUUGUAAUUUAAAAAAACGUAUGUAUACAAAACUCAUUUUCCCUCUUUCUUCUUUUUCUGUCCUUUUCCCUUUCCUCCUUUCCUCCCUCCCUUUCUUCUUUUGCCUUCUUCCUUUUUAAAUAUUUUUCGAACAUGUUAAAAUCUAAUAUAGCCUUUGAAUUCAUUUUUCUUCUUUUCACCAGACAUUGGUGUGCAAGUGGCAAAAAGAGUCCUGUCCCAGCACUGCAAGGGGAAGAUAAAGGCUCGUCAUCUGUGCGUGCGUCCAUCUGAGUGGAACGUGUGUCCCGGGGGCUGCUGCCACCGCGCCGGUCCCUCCUGUAAUCCGAGCCCGUGUCAGAGGACGCGGCGCCUGCAAGGAAGAAGGGUUGCCGCAGGUGUGGCCAGAUCCUCUAGGCAAGAGGUGUGGAUUCAGGUCCUACUAGUCUUACUCCUGAUGAAGCUGGGCAAAUCAGUUGGCUCUGGAGUAAUUAGUAGCCCCUUCCUCACUGACCAUUGCAAGGAAAUACCAGUGAACUUGAGUUUCUCCAAUGAAGGUGAUCACAGUGAUGAAUGACUUGGCUUCUGCACAGCAAAAGACAUGAUCAUCAGAGCGAACAGACAACCUACAGAAUGGGAGAGCAUUUGUGCCAUCUAUCCAUCUGACAAAAGUCUAAAAUCCAAAGUUUACAAAGAACUUAAACAAAUUUACAAGAAAAAAACAAACGACCCCGUUAAAAAGUGGGCAAAGGAGAUGAACAGACACUUCUCCAAAGAAGACAUUCAUGCAGCCAAC